Molecule: ribosomal RNA, 253 nt
Filed under: uncultured bacterium
Lineage: Bacteria
Description: partial 16S ribosomal RNA
Rfam family: Bacterial small subunit ribosomal RNA
Source: RNAcentral
UACGUAGGGUGCAAGCGUUGUCCGGAAUUAUUGGGCGUAAAGAGCUCGUAGGCGGUUUGUCGCGUCGGCUGUGAAAACUCGGGGCUCAACCCCGAGCCUGCAGUCGAUACGGGCAGACUAGAGUGCUGUAGGGGAGACUGGAAUUCCUGGUGUAGCGGUGAAAUGCGCAGAUAUCAGGAGGAACACCGGUGGCGAAGGCGGUUACCUGGAGCUUUGCUGACGCUGAUGCGCGAAAGCGUGGGGAGCAAACAGG